Non-coding RNA from Mesitornis unicolor (brown roatelo), 360 nucleotides. NCBI's taxonomy places the organism in Eukaryota, Metazoa, Chordata, Aves, Mesitornithiformes, Mesitornithidae. The record is from the annotation of a RefSeq genome assembly.
AUGUGGCUGCUGAGUGCUUUCAUUCUGACAGCUAUUUUUUCUGGUGGUUCUGCACUAGUAUUGCAGCAAACACCCAUAUCUAUCACCAAGCCAGAUGGCAAGACGGUGCUAAUCAAUUGCCACGUCUCCCAUCCCGAUUUCAUCAAUGUUUUCAUUCACUGGUACCGAAGGAGGCCCAAUGCAGCUCCCAAGCGCAUUGCUUACAUGUCCUCCAGGCUUUUUGUUGAAAACAAGGCCGAUGAGGGGAAAAUUAGUAUUGAGAAGGAUCCCACCAAAUCCAUCUGCACUCUGACAGUGAGCAAAGUAACUCUGCAAGACUCUGCCACCUACUACUGUGCUAGGUGGGACGCACAGCAGUAG